RNAcentral lists this ribosomal RNA (257 nucleotides) under uncultured bacterium. RNAcentral describes it as "partial 16S ribosomal RNA". It matches the Rfam family "Bacterial small subunit ribosomal RNA", at positions 524 to 776 of the family's 1533-position model. The record is from RNAcentral.
UACGUAGGGGCCUAGCGUUGUCCGGAUUUAUUGGGCGUAAAGAGCUCGUAGGCGGUUCGGCAAGUCGGAUGUGAAAUCUCCACGCUCAACGUGGAGGGGGCCAUUCGAAACUGCCGUGACUCGAGUCCGGUAGGGGAGUGGUGGAAUUCCCGGUGUAGCGGUGAAAAUGCGCAGAUAUCGAGAGGAACAUCGGUGGCGAAGGCGGCCUUCUGGACGGUGACUGACGCUGAGAUGCGAAAGCGUGGGGAGCAAACAGG